CCUACGGGUGGCAGCAGUAGGGAAUCUUGCGCAAUGGGCGAAAGCCUGACGCAGCAACUCCGCGUGCGGGAAGAAGGCCUUCGGGUUGUAAACCGCUUUUGGCAGGAACGAAAAUGACGGUACCUGCAGAAGAAGGUGCGGCCAACUACGUGCCAGCAGCCGCGGUGACACGUAGGCACCAAGCGUUGUCCGGAUUUAUUGGGCGUAAAGAGCUCGUAGGCGGUUCAGUAAGUCGGGUGUGAAAACUCAGGGCUUAACCCUGAGACGCCACUCGAUACUGCUGGGCUAGAAUUCGGUAGGGGAGUGGGGAAUUCCUGGUGUAGCGGUGAAAUGCGCAGAUAUCAGGAGGAACACCGGUGGCGAAGGCGCCACUCUGGGCCGACAUUGACGCUGAGGAGCGAAAGCGUGGGUAGCAAACAGGAUUAGAUACCCCAGUAGUC
Molecule: ribosomal RNA, 440 nt
Filed under: uncultured Acidimicrobiaceae bacterium
Lineage: Bacteria; Bacillati; Actinomycetota; Acidimicrobiia; Acidimicrobiales; Acidimicrobiaceae
Description: bacterial SSU rRNA
Rfam family: Bacterial small subunit ribosomal RNA
Source: RNAcentral